Molecule: RNA transcript, 542 nt
Organism: Cajanus cajan (pigeon pea)
Lineage: Eukaryota; Viridiplantae; Streptophyta; Magnoliopsida; Fabales; Fabaceae
Gene name: putative sugar phosphate/phosphate translocator At2g25520 pseudogene
Source: RefSeq, a predicted model, not a curated record
UGCAGAGCAAUCUAUGCUCUAAAUAUAUAUAGUUAUAUACCGUCUUUGGCUUUCUAUAUUUUUAUUUUCCAUUUAAGAUGGGUUGCUUUAAGAAUCUUGUCUUAAACAUGGUUUUGCUAUUUGUGAUUCUCUUAUCAAUGAAUCUCGCAAUAGCAAGACAGCCCCUUUGGAUAUCAGAGCCUCACUACACACAUGGACGCCACCUUCUGGAGCCACAACCACCAAGAGGCUACAAUUAUGGCGUCCCUGAGGGAGAGUGAAGCGGAGCUGGGUUGGGUUUCAAGGAGAAAAGUUUACUGUGGAGAAGCAGAUGUAUAACUGCAUAUGUACUAUGUUACAUUGUUUUGGAAUUACGAUUUCCUUUGAGUGUCAUCAAUAAUGUUAAUAAAUUCAGCUCAACUGUGUUAUUUUCCAAUUUUUUUAAUUUUUUUUAUCGUAUUAUUACCAUAUAUUUGGUAAGCGAUAUAGUUCUUACGAGUUAUGAAAAGAAUGUUGGAUAUGGACAAUGGCGCCAUGGCUCGAUGAAGGUUCGUUCCUGGAGU